AGUCAUUGAGUUGGGGUAAGAGACAAAGAUACAAGGAUCCAAGUAAAAGAUAACCGUCGUAUGCCAUGCGUAAAAUCAGUUGACAAUGCCUGGUGGGAGUUCAGGGCUACGCUCUCUCUGCUGCUAAUCACCGAGUCACCGACAACAACCCACCACCAUAGUUCUUUCGACCAUAGCUGUCAGUCUAAAACCUAGGCACACUUGCACAGUACCUCUGCUUAAAUUACAGACUAGGCACUUAUCCCAUCCAGCGAGCUGCUCAAAAGUAAAAAGUACACCAGCCAUAAUAAUAAUACAAUUACGGAGACGAAAGCAGCAGUACAAUCAUUGAUAAAAAAAAUAAAAAAAAGCAGCAGUACAAUCAAUAACAUGG
RNAcentral lists this unclassified non-coding RNA (373 nucleotides) under Hevea brasiliensis (rubber tree). Lineage: Eukaryota; Viridiplantae; Streptophyta; Magnoliopsida; Malpighiales; Euphorbiaceae. The record is from RNAcentral.